AUUGAACGCUGGCGGCAGGCCUAACACAUGCAAGUCGAACGGUAACAGGAAGAAGCUUGCUUCUUUGCUGACGAGUGGCGGACGGGUGAGUAAUGUCUGGGAAACUGCCUGAUGGAGGGGGAUAACUACUGGAAACGGUAGCUAAUACCGCAUAACGUCGCAAGACCAAAGAGGGGGACCUUCGGGCCUCUUGCCAUCGGAUGUGCCCAGAUGGGAUUAGCUAGUAGGUGGGGUAACGGCUCACCUAGGCGACGAUCCCUAGCUGGUCUGAGAGGAUGACCAGCCACACUGGAACUGAGACACGGUCCAGACUCCUACGGGAGGCAGCAGUGGGGAAUAUUGCACAAUGGGCGCAAGCCUGAUGCAGCCAUGCCGCGUGUAUGAAGAAGGCCUUCGGGUUGUAAAGUACUUUCAGCGGGGAGGAAGGGAGUAGAGUUAAUACCUUUGCUCAUUGACGUUACCCGCAGAAGAAGCACCGGCUAACUCCGUG
RNAcentral lists this ribosomal RNA (490 nucleotides) under uncultured bacterium. Its description in RNAcentral is "partial 16S ribosomal RNA". It matches the Rfam family "Bacterial small subunit ribosomal RNA", at positions 30 to 507 of the family's 1533-position model. The record is from RNAcentral.